ACUUCUCUCUUUCGUCGUCUGAUCAUUAAGCCUCUCUUUAAUAUACAUAUAUAUAUAUGUUUCUCUUCUCAACAGUCCUGAUAAUCAUGUUUAUGGUAUAGUCAACUUCUCUCUUUCGUCGUCUGAUCAUUAAACCUCUCUUCUCCGUUGAAAGGAGAGGAAAUAAAGGGGGAAAAAUGCAUUCAGGGAAUAACUGGGGAGGAUCUUUUGAGAUAAUCAAUGGUGCAGAAUCGACAACAGAGGAUGAGAGGAGCCGGAACAUGGAAUGGGACAGGGGAGCCCUUCAUUCUCAACAGCACUACCAUAAUCUGGACGAGACACAACAGAGCUGGUUACUCUACCCACAAGAGACCAAGAAGAAAAAGUAUGUGGACUUGGGUUGUAUAGUUUGCAGCACCAAGGCUUUCAAGUGGACUCUAUAUUCCCUUCUCAUUGCCUUUGUGGUCAUUGCACUUCCCACCAUCAUCGCCAAGACUUUGCCCAAGCACAAGUCUCAUCCUCCUCCUCCUGACAAUUACACUAUUGCCCUCCACAAGGCCCUCCUAUUUUUCAAUGCCCAGAAAUCUGGUAAAUUGCCCAAGAAUAAUGGCAUACCCUGGAGAGGGG
Molecule: unclassified non-coding RNA, 606 nt
Filed under: Hevea brasiliensis (rubber tree)
Lineage: Eukaryota; Viridiplantae; Streptophyta; Magnoliopsida; Malpighiales; Euphorbiaceae
Source: RNAcentral